GCUUACGGCCACACCGCCUGGUUCACGCCCGGAUCUCGGAAGCUAAGAUAGGUUGGGCCUGGUUAGUACUUGGAUGGGAGACCGCCUAGGAAUACCAGGUGCUGUAAGCC
Molecule: ribosomal RNA, 110 nt
Filed under: Scophthalmus maximus (turbot)
Lineage: Eukaryota; Metazoa; Chordata; Actinopteri; Pleuronectiformes; Scophthalmidae
Source: RNAcentral